UACGUAGGGUGCAAGCGUUGUCCGGAAUUAUUGGGCGUAAAGAGCUCGUAGGCGGUUCGUCGCGUCGGCUGUGAAAUCCCGAGGCUCAACCUCGGGUCUGCAGUCGAUACGGGCGGACUGGAGUUCGGCAGGGGAGACGUGGAAUUCCUGGUGUAGCGGUGAAAUGCGCAGAUAUCAGGAGGAACACCGGUGGCGAAGGCGGGUCUCUGGGCCGAUGACUGACGCUGAGGAGCGAAAGCGUGGGGAGCGAACAGGGA
This 257-nucleotide ribosomal RNA is filed under the name uncultured bacterium. Its description in RNAcentral is "partial 16S ribosomal RNA". It matches the Rfam family "Bacterial small subunit ribosomal RNA", at positions 524 to 778 of the family's 1533-position model. The record is from RNAcentral.